AAAGCAAUCUCUUUCAAGACAACUUACAGCAGACACACAGACCAUCCAACCUUAUGCUGCCUAAACAGAUGCCACAUUUUUACUGCUUUUAUUUCACUGGAUCCAAAACUCAUCAGGUUCCAUCACCAUAUUUAUACUGAGGAGGUCUGUGUCGUCUUCUGCCUCAUUUCACUUUGUCUGCUCCUGCCCCCAACAUGGAUCAUUCAUUCUGGUCUUCAUUGGGAUUCAUUUGCUUCAUUGCCAUAAAUUGAAAGUGACUUGAUGGCAAAUAACAACAAAACACAUGGAUUCAAAACUAGACUUCUAUGAGAUCUUAUCUGUGACUGACAGAAAGCCCAAUUAUUGCAACUGCAGACAUCACAAUGACAACUUCUCCCUUUCUUUCAUUCUUCUGCCCAACUCACUGAAUACCAUGUAUCUUGAGUCUUGGAGAACCUGAAGAAUUGGACACUUCUGUGGUGCAAAGAGGUGAUGGUGGAGAAAUUUCCAACAGACUGCACUGCUUCUACAUCAUUACUUGACAUAGUUCAGCUUUGCUGUUCAAACAUCAUAUGCACUGUAACAGUGAAUCCAAAAGAUGGGAUGUGUAUACACAGGAGAACUACAAGCACAGAAGAAGAUUUGUUGAAUGCAUCCUUUUACACCACAGAAGAGACUAGCCAUUUUGAAACAGCAAAAACAAACCGUGGAUUUCUUCUUCAGUAUCAACCUACUGCAAAGAAAUUUGCACAUCAUUUGUCCUCUCUGUAGAACUGAACUUAUUUUUAAAUUACACUUGUACCCUGUGCUUCCUUAAAGAAGCUCCUUUUAAAGAAACAGCUAAAUAAGACGAACAAUACACACCAAUGGCAAAAUAACAGAAAAACAGAAACAUCCAACAUGGGUUUUUAUGUGACCAACAUAUUCACCAUGGAUUGAAUUAAAUGCUUGCAUCAAACUCAUUUUUCUAAACAGCAAUAUUUUGCAGUGUUCUAGUGUUAACAUUAGUAAGCAUUCUGUAUGGUGUGGUAUGGGAGGAGGUUAAUGGGGCAGGGUGACAGGUGAUGCCAACUUUUGUGAUACCACUGUGCAAAAUAAGUCCCAAAUUAUGAAUAGUCAUUAAAGACUGCACUAUAUUUAAAGACUUUCUCACAGAAGGAAGAACAUUUAUUGUUGUUUUCAUCAAGAACUGGUUAAGAAUUACAUCCCUAUUCCAUUUUUAGCUGCCAUGGCUACAUCUUGUGGAGUCAUGGGGUGUUGGGGUUCAAUGAGUGCUCUCUCAUUGAGAAUUGGAAAGGCACUUUCUUCAUCUGCAGAUCACAAGAUUCAACAGAAUGCUACCAUGGCAGUUGAAGUGGAAUCCUCAUGCUAUAAUUAUACUUUUGAAAGGGCUCCUGACAGGCAAGGACAAUGACAACACCUUCUAGCCCUUCUCAGCUUUCCCUAUUCUCUCACUGAGCAUAGCUGCAAUCCUCACAGUGUAGGUCACAAGAGAGGGAUUUCCACAACAAUCGAUUAUUGCUAUAAGCUAUUCCAUGAGCAAUGCAAAGUAUUUGGGGGGCAGCUUGGUCUUUUAUGGUCCAAGCUUCACCACAGACCUGCUCUUAGUGGAGAUAAAACAGUGAGAACAGGUUGGUUGAAAUGGGAUAAUGAUAUCCUCCAACAAUUCAGAGAUGAAAACCGAGACACAAGUGGCCACACAAUAUCAGAGUGUGGUCAAGAUGGCAAAAGCUGAUAAAACAGAAGACUAUACAAGCUAGAAAAGAAAUGAUUUGCUUUUGACUGAAUCUACAGGGAAGGACAAGAUACUGUCAUGUCUCGCCUAUCCUCUUAUCCCAUGCAGAAUUAACUGAUUGCAAACUACCCUUGGUCUUUAAAGUCAUUUUGGAGCAAGUCAGCCAAGGAGAAGGGAGGAAAGUGGAAAGAGGAGAGAAAAACAGGGACAUUUUAAAAGUCACUGAAAAAGGGGGACAACUGAGGAUUAAGAGGACUGUCCUGGCCAAAUCUGGACCGUUGAAUGGUAUGAAUAACACAGCUACCCAUAUUUUUGGAUUCUCCUUGUGAAGUUAGCUUUUCAAGUUGCCAUGAUAAGUAUCUGCACUUAUCAAUUUUACUACU
This is a long non-coding RNA of Sceloporus undulatus (fence lizard), 2097 nucleotides long. RefSeq lists it as uncharacterized. The record is from RefSeq and is a predicted model, not a curated record. NCBI's taxonomy places the organism in Eukaryota, Metazoa, Chordata, Lepidosauria, Squamata, Phrynosomatidae. The transcript has 5 exons.